UUUUAAUUUAUGUUAUUUUAUCCAAAAUGGAUUAUAGAAUGCAAACUGUUUUAGUUCCAAGAUGAUUACUGAUGACACUCGCUGAUUUAAGCAUGCAACUUGAGAUCAUGUGACAGAUGAAGUCAGGUCAUAUGACUGUGUUUGUAGCAUGCUGCUCUCUAAAACAGGUUGGCCUGCUGUUUCACUAUUUUUUCUGAAGUAGUAUACAGUAUACAGUGUAUUCAAUUUUAAAUAAAGUCUCUGUCAAGGAAAAUCAGCUCGUUAGCAGGCUAAAGCAAGAUGCUGAUGGAUUUGUAGCAAAGAACAGCAACAAGUAAACAGAAAGGAUGAAGAUCUGCAACAAACGAUGCAGAGAAUGAGGACAACUGAUCAGAUGACACAAACGCAUGCAGAAGUUUCCAAAGACAGAACGACCCUAAUCAGGAUCAUUUUCAAAGGCUCCAGAAGAAAGGAAUGUCUUUGUUUCUGAGUGAAAUGAGUGAAAUGUGGGGUUCUCCGAGCGUCUCUGUGUACAGGAUGUCCCUGAGACUAUUCUUGGCAGCUCUGGGUUGAAGAAGGGGGGGUUUCAUCUGGUUUAACUCAGGCAUCUGCACUGGUUCGAGAGGCUCUUUUGUUCUGGAGUUUUGAUUGAAACUUAAAGAGUGCAGGAAAUGCAGAUACUCCUGGAUGGGACGAUGCUCGCUGACGUGAUUGGAUCGCCGGUGCAGACUCGUGGACUGAACCACAUGAAAGCUCUGGAGAUGAGAGAGAUCUGGGGGCCGUUAAAGAGACGCACCCGCUUCUGGAGCUCAUGGGUUCAGUCUUCAUGUUCAGCCACAAGAUGCUUUUAUUAAUGGCACUCAUCGUUGCAUUCAGGCCUGGUUUUAUUCUCUAACGUUUGUUCUUAAAUUGUCUGUCUUCAGCUACAUCAGUUUUUGAUGAGAAACCCCCUUAAACAUUAUAACUCAAGUUUUUUUUUUCAUUGAGAAACUAUUUGAAUGCUAAGUACAGACACUUAUUACUUUACUAGCGCAGAGAAGUUGGGUCGCUUUGUGAAGUUAUCACCGCGAGCCGCAUAUUUGUGGACCUUAACCUUGUAUAGAGUUAAAUUGGGUUAAAGCGCCAUCAGAUCUAUUUUCAGAGGUUAUUCAUCAGCGCGGAGGAACUGUCUCGUUUCUUCUUAAGUGUCUGGCUGAUCACAGCUCUGUUUGAAAUGUCUCAAGCUUGAAGUGUUGGAGAUAUUAGUCAUUAUUAAAGUUAACCCG
Molecule: long non-coding RNA, 1244 nt
Organism: Cyprinus carpio carpio
Lineage: Eukaryota; Metazoa; Chordata; Actinopteri; Cypriniformes; Cyprinidae
Source: Ensembl